GUUGAUCGCAGGAUAAAGAUAAACCCAUAAAAUGGUUAAAAAGCAAGCGAGCUGGUGAAGCAAAGCAGUUUAAUCAAGGAAGGAAGGCCAUCGCACCAUGAAGAAAGAAAUGAAAGUGUGUAUUCAAGAAUAAACGUUCGACGACGCCUUCAACACCAUGGAUAAUUGUUCUUCAUUUACCGUACAAGCGUUGUAAUCGCCGAGGCAAUCCGCCUCACAGUUAAAAUAAAUACGACGUGAGUGUGA
Ornithodoros turicata is the source of this 246-nucleotide long non-coding RNA. RefSeq lists it as uncharacterized. The record is from RefSeq and is a predicted model, not a curated record. Lineage: Eukaryota; Metazoa; Arthropoda; Arachnida; Ixodida; Argasidae. The transcript is spliced from 2 exons.